GACGAACGCUGGCGGCGUGCUUAACACAUGCAGGUCGAACGGAAAGGCCCUGCUUUUGUGGGGUGCUCGAGUGGCGAACGGGUGAGUAACACGUGAGUAACCUGCCCUUGACUUUGGGAUAACUUCAGGAAACUGGGGCUAAUACCGGAUAGGAGCUCCUGCUGCAUGGUGGGGGUUGGAAAGUUUCGGCGGUUGGGGAUGGACUCGCGGCUUAUCAGCUUGUUGGUGGGGUAGUGGCUUAUCAAGGCUUUGACGGGUAGCCGGCCUGAGAGGGUGACCGGCCACAUUGGGACUGAGAUACGGCCCAGACUCCUACGGGAGGCAGCAGUGGGGAAUAUUGCACAAUGGGCGGAAGCCUGAUGCAGCAACGCCGCGUGCGGGAUGACGGCCUUCGGGUUGUAAACCGCUUUCGCCUGUGACGAAGCGUGAGUGACGGUAAUGGGUAAAGAAGCACCGGCUAACUACGUG
This 468-nucleotide ribosomal RNA is filed under the name uncultured bacterium. RNAcentral's name for it is "partial 16S ribosomal RNA". It matches the Rfam family "Bacterial small subunit ribosomal RNA", at positions 28 to 507 of the family's 1533-position model. The record is from RNAcentral.